RNAcentral lists this ribosomal RNA (520 nucleotides) under uncultured Glomeromycotina. RNAcentral's name for it is "SSU rRNA". It matches the Rfam family "Eukaryotic small subunit ribosomal RNA", at positions 569 to 1092 of the family's 1831-position model. The record is from RNAcentral. Lineage: Eukaryota; Fungi; Glomeromycota.
AGCAGCCGCGGUAAUUCCAGCUCCAAUAGCGUAUAUUAAAGUUGUUGCAGUUAAAAAGCUCGUAGUUGAAUUUCGGGAUCAAGUCGUCGGUCGUGCCUCGGUACGCACUGGUGACAUUGGUUUCUCCCUUCUGAAGAACCUUGAUGUCAUUAAUUUGGUGUCUUGGGGAAUCAGGACUGUUACUUUGAAAAAAUUAGAGUGUUUAAAGCAGGCUCACGCUUGAAUACAUUAGCAUGGAAUAAUGAAAUAGGACGUUUGAUUCUAUUUUGUUGGUUUCUAGGAUCGACGUAAUGAUUAAUAGGGAUAGUUGGGGGCAUUAGUAUUCAAUUGUCAGAGGUGAAAUUCUUGGAUUUAUUGAAGACUAACUACUGCGAAAGCAUUUGCCAAGGAUGUUUUCAUUAAUCAAGAACGAAAGUUAGGGGAUCGAAGACGAUCAGAUACCGUCGUAGUCUUAACCAUAAACUAUACCGACUAGGGAUCGGAUGAUGUUAAUUUUUAAUGACUCAUUCGGCGCCUUACG